UUUAUUUGAACCCUUCGAGGAAAGAGGCCAAAUUAGACAAAGGACCAAAAGACUAACCAGAUAUUAAAGAUGCAGUGGAGUCUCUUUCUGCUGAUUCUGAUGGGUCAGUGUUUCGUCUCCACCUGUUACCUGUAUGAGUACCACUUUAUUAGAGAAGACAAAACCUGGGAAGAAGCACAGAAAUACUGCAGAGAGAAUUAUGCAGACCUGGCCAGCGUGUUUGACAUGGCAGACAUGGCGAGACUGCGUGAAUCCAAAGAGUAUGAAGGUAAAGCCUGGAUUGGACUGUUCAGCAACCCAGGAAAAGAAAACAGGAUGUGGCAUUGGUCUCUGCCAGGGGUGA
This is a non-coding RNA of Maylandia zebra (zebra mbuna), 343 nucleotides long. The record is from RefSeq and is a predicted model, not a curated record. NCBI's taxonomy places the organism in Eukaryota, Metazoa, Chordata, Actinopteri, Cichliformes, Cichlidae.